AUUGAACGCUGGCGGCAGGCCUAACACAUGCAAGUCGAGCGGAUGAAGGGAGCUUGCUCCUGGAUUCAGCGGCGGACGGGUGAGUAAUGCCUAGGAAUCUGCCUGGUAGUGGGGGAUAACGUCCGGAAACGGGCGCUAAUACCGCAUACGUCCUGAGGGAGAAAGUGGGGGAUCUUCGGACCUCACGCUAUCAGAUGAGCCUAGGUCGGAUUAGCUAGUUGGUGGGGUAAAGGCCUACCAAGGCGACGAUCCGUAACUGGUCUGAGAGGAUGAUCAGUCACACUGGAACUGAGACACGGUCCAGACUCCUACGGGAGGCAGCAGUGGGGAAUAUUGGACAAUGGGCGAAAGCCCGAUCCAGCCAUGCCGCGUGUGUGAAGAAGGUCUCCGGAUUGUAAAGCACUUUAAGUUGGGAGGAAGGGCAGUAAGUUAAUACCUUGCUGUUUUGACGUUACCAACAGAAUAAGCACCGGCUAACUUCGUG
This 484-nucleotide ribosomal RNA is filed under the name uncultured bacterium. Its description in RNAcentral is "partial 16S ribosomal RNA". It matches the Rfam family "Bacterial small subunit ribosomal RNA", at positions 30 to 507 of the family's 1533-position model. The record is from RNAcentral.